GAUGAACGUCGGCGGCGUGCCUAAUACAUGCAAGUCGAGCGAACAGACGAGGAGCUUGCUCCUCUGACGUUAGCGGCGGACGGGUGAGUAACACGUGGAUAACCUACCUAUAAGACUGGGAUAACUUCGGGAAACCGGGGCUAAUACCGGAUAAUAUAUUGAACCGCAUGGUUCAAUAGUGAAAGACGGUUUUGCUGUCACUUAUAGAUGGAUCCGCGCCGCAUUAGCUAGUUGGUAAGGUAACGGCUUACCAAGGCAACGAUGCGUAGCCGACCUGAGAGGGUGAUCGGCCACACUGGAACUGAGACACGGUCCAGACUCCUACGGGAGGCAGCAGUAGGGAAUCUUCCGCAAUGGGCGAAAGCCUGACGGAGCAACGCCGCGUGAGUGAUGAAGGUCUUCGGAUCGUAAAACUCUGUUAUUAGGGAAGAACAAAUGUGUAAGUAACUAUGCACGUCUUGACGGUACCUAAUCAGAAAGCCACGGCUAACUACGUG
Molecule: ribosomal RNA, 497 nt
Filed under: uncultured bacterium
Lineage: Bacteria
Description: partial 16S ribosomal RNA
Rfam family: Bacterial small subunit ribosomal RNA
Source: RNAcentral